RNAcentral lists this ribosomal RNA (484 nucleotides) under uncultured bacterium. Its description in RNAcentral is "partial 16S ribosomal RNA". It matches the Rfam family "Bacterial small subunit ribosomal RNA", at positions 30 to 507 of the family's 1533-position model. The record is from RNAcentral.
AUUGAACGCUGGCGGCAGGCCUAACACAUGCAAGUCGAGCGGAUGAAGGGAGCUUGCUCCUGGAUUCAGCGGCGGACGGGUGAGUAAUGCCUAGGAAUCUGCCUGGUAGUGGGGGAUAACGUCCGGAAACGGGCGCUAAUACCGCAUACGUCCUGAGGGAGAAAGUGGGGGAUCUUCGGACCUCACGCUAUCAGAUGAGCCUAGGUCGGAUUAGCUAGUUGGUGGGGUAAAGGCCUACCAAGGCGACGAUCCGUAACUGGUCUGAGAGGAUGAUCAGUCACACUGGAACUGAGACACGGUCCAGACUCCUGCGGGAGGCAGCAGUGGGGAAUAUUGGACAAUGGGCGAGAGCCUGAUCCAGCCAUGCCGCGUGUGUGAAGAAGGUCUUCGGAUUGUAAAGCACUUUAAGUUGGGAGUAAGGGCAGUAAGUUAAUACCUUGCUGUUUUGACGUUACCAACAGAAUAAGCACCGGCUAACUUCGUG